Long non-coding RNA from Ostrea edulis (European flat oyster), 1643 nucleotides. RefSeq lists it as uncharacterized. The transcript is spliced from 2 exons. The record is from RefSeq and is a predicted model, not a curated record. Lineage: Eukaryota; Metazoa; Mollusca; Bivalvia; Ostreida; Ostreidae.
AAUAAUAAAAUGGAAAAAAAAAAUUGUGUUUUUAAAAAGUAUUUGAUGUUUCACUUGAUAAAAACUUAAUUUAUGAUAUAUCAAAUGAAUAAAGGGCAGACAACUAUUGCUGGUCCAUUUAAGGUUUGGACCAUUAAACAAGGGAGGUAAGCCAUGUUUUGUAUCCAUUACUUGUCGGCUGGAAAGCACAUGCAAUAGUUUUACGAUACCCGUUGGUAUAAAUGUGGGUUCGAGGUUUGUUUGAUAUACAGUAUAAAUUUUUUUUUUUUUUAAAGUAAUCCAAGAUGUUUACAUUUAGAUGAACAAACCCGAUUCUUUAUUUUGUUUUUAAAUAUAAAGAUGCUUUUUGAAGGAUCAACAUUUAAGAAGAAUGUUUAGACCAUUCAUCUGACACAUUUAGCUUAUGGUUAAUAUCAUAGUCUAUGCCAGCGGCAUUUGAGGAGGAAUUUUGUUUAGAAUUGUCAUCUGCACGUAAUCUACAUACAUGUAGUGCCAAGUUUCUGAAACAUCAUUUACUUAUAUUAAACAUGUAUUAGAAAUAACAAAGGAGAAAUCAUGGAACCUUGGAAGGAUCUCAGCGUUAAUGGAUUCGCUAGAGGAGAAAACAUCUAUAUAAAACAUAACUUUCUGACUUACUGUAAAACCGUUAAAAAGACCGCCUGCUAUCCCGUGUGAAUAUAAUAUUCCAAACCCUGUCAAUUGACCUUGAUAGUUGACAAAUCACCAUACAACACGAUUUUCCCCAGCAAUGCUUCACAAUACUGGAAUCCAGCAACUGAUAUCUGGUAAGACACCUGCCUGAUGUCAUUUGAAUGAACAUGAUUAUAGACUUGUUUGAAUAUCAUUAUUUCCAUAAUGUUGCUUACGUAAGUCUAGUGAAAUUUCUCAGAUAGGGUUUUACAGAUGAGCCAACUUUUAGAAACAAAAUUAUCUGACAGCGCAUUAGCUAAUUGACAAUGAUUGGGAAAUGUGUUUUCAUUCAAAGGCAUGUUAAAAAGCAUGCAUAGGAGGUUUUCACUUGUGUUGAGACGUCACCAGCUCUAUGUAAGUGCCUCAAACUUUGACCAAUGCAACAAGACUUGUUUAUUUUGUUAACUCUCGUGACUUUCACCUUUAAUAUCUCUAAUGCGAACAACAGACCAAUCGACGCGGCGCCGGGAUCGGGAAUGGAACCAGUGACUUCCGGUCUCGAAACACUCGGCUAUAGAGACCGGUAAAACGUGUUCGAUAAAUGCUGUCAAUGUCUUCAAUAUCGAUAUGGAGGAUAUGGGAUUUUUUUAAUGUUUCCACUUGUUUUAUAAGAUCUGAAAAUGUCAUAUUAUUAACCAUUUCAGAAUGCCGUGAAUGAUUGGUAUGCCCGAUGAAAGUUUUAACAUGAAUUACGUACUUAAUACAGGUUUCUUUAUUUUACACUUAGGUUACUGGUAUCUAAUAUUUCCAAUAAAAUUAUAGGUGGCGAUAUUUUGUAUAAACAUUUAUAUUUACCACAUAGAUUAAGUGCAUUUGUAUUUUCAUCUUCAUCAUGGAUAUCUCUAUUUUUCACCAUUAAUAAUUCCAGCCAAGUACCUGUAUUUUCUAUCUAUAUCUGACACAGGCAAGCACAUGUAUAUUUUCUAUCUGUAUUAUAUGUGCAUACAAUUUUA